GGUCAAGUAAUGAAGUGCACAUGGUGGAUGCCUUGGCAGUCAGAGGCGAUGAAAGACGUGAUAGCCUGCGAUAAGCGUCGGUGAGGUGGCAAUAUCCUGUGACCCGGCGAUUUCUGAAUGGGGAAACCCAACCAACACAAGUUGGUUAUUACACAGUUUACUGUGUAAGGCAAACCGGGAGAAGUGAAACAUCUCAGUACCCCGAGGAAAAGACAUCAAAUGAGAUUCCGUAAGUAGCGGCGAGCGAACACGGAGGAGCCGAUCAAUUUUACAGUAGCAAAAUGGCGUGGAAAAGCCAACCAUAGUAGGUGAUAGUCCUGUAUGCGAAACUGUUUAAGCGACAUAUUAAGUAGGGCGGAACACGAGAAAUUCUGUCUGAAGAUGGGGGGACCAUCCUCCAAGGCUAAAUACUCCUGACUGACCGAUAGUGAACCAGUACCGUGAGGGAAAGGCGAAAAGAACCCCUGUUAGGGGAGUGAAAUAGAACCUGAAACCGUGUGCAUACAAGCAGUCGGAGCGGACUUGUUCCGUGACGGCGUACCUUUUGUAUAAUGGGUCAGCGACUUAUAUUCUGUAGCAAGGUUAACCGAAUAGGGGAGCCGUAGGGAAACCGAGUCUUAAUAGGGCGAAUGAGUUGCAGGGUAUAGACCCGAAACCGAGUGAUCUAUCCAUGAGCAGGUUGAAAGUGCCGUAACAGGCACCGGAGGACCGAACCCACUGUCGUUGAAAAGCCAGGGGAUGACUUGUGGAUAGGGGUGAAAGGCUAAUCAAACUCGGUGAUAGCUGGUUCUCCCCGAAAGCUAUUUAGGUAGCGCCUCGGACGAACACCAUUGGGGGUAGAGCACUGUUUCGGCUAGGGGGUCAUCCCGACUUACCAAACCGAUGCAAACUCCGAAUACCGAUGAGUGAUAUCCGGGAGACAGACGGCGGGUGCUAACGUCCGUCGUCAAGAGGGAAACAACCCAGACCGCCAGCUAAGGCCCCAAAUUCCUAGUUAAGUGGGAAACGAUGUGGGAAGGCACAGACAGCUAGGAGGUUGGCUUAGAAGCAGCCACCCUUUAAAGAAAGCGUAAUAGCUCACUAGUCGAGUCGGCCUGCGCGGAAGAUGUAACGGGGCUCAAACUAGGAGCCGAAGCUGCGGAUUUAAUUGUUUCAAUUAAGUGGUAGGGGAGCGUUGUGUAAGCCUGUGAAGGUGCACUGUAAGGUGUGCUGGAGGUAUCACAAGAGCGAAUGCUGACGUGAGUAACGACAAAACGGGUGAAAAGCCCGUUCGCCGGAAGACCAAGGGUUCCAGUCCAACGUUAAUCGGGGCUGGGUGAGUCGACCCCUAAGGCGAGGCCGAAAGGCGUAGUCGAUGGGAAAUCGGUUAAUAUUCCGAUACUUGUUUAUGAUGCGAUGGAGGGACGGAGAAGGUUAUGCCAGCCUGGCGAUGGUUGUCCAGGUGGAAGGAUGUAGUUAGACUGAGUAGGCAAAUCCGCUCGGUUAUUAAUGAGAUCUGAUAGCAAGCCAGUUUACUGGCGAAGUGGCAAAUACCCUGCUUCCAGGAAAAGCUUCUAAGCGAUAGUCAUAAACGAAUCGUACCCGAAACCGACACAGGUGGUCAGGUAGAGAAUACCAAGGCGCUUGAGAGAACUCUGCUGAAGGAACUAGGCAAAAUGGUACCGUAACUUCGGGAGAAGGUACGCUGCCGAUGGUGAUGAAACUUGCUUUCUGAGCUGUUGGCAGUCGCAGAUACCAGGCUGCUGCAACUGUUUAUUAAAAACACAGCACUCUGCAAACACGAAAGUGGACGUAUAGGGUGUGAUGCCUGCCCGGUGCUGGAAGGUUAAUUGAUGGGGUUAGCGUAAGCGAAGCUCUUGAUCGAAGCCCCAGUAAACGGCGGCCGUAACUAUAACGGUCCUAAGGUAGCGAAAUUCCUUGUCGGGUAAGUUCCGACCUGCACGAAUGGCAUAAUGAUGGCAGCGCUGUCUCCAGCAGAGACUCAGUGAAAUCGAAAUCGCAGUGAAGAUGCUGUGUACCCGCGGCUAGACGGAAAGACCCCGUGAACCUUUACUACAGCUUUACAUUGAACUUUGACCUAACUUGUGUAGGAUAGGUGGGAGGCUUUGAAGCAGAUACGCCAGUAUUUGUGGAGCCAACCUUGAAAUACCACCCUGGUUAUGUUGGGGUUCUAACUUAGAUAUAACAGUAUCAAGGACAAUGUAUGGUGGGUAGUUUGACUGGGGCGGUCUCCUCCUAAAGAGUAACGGAGGAGUACGAAGGUGCGCUCAGAACGGUCGGAAAUCGUUCAAAGAGUAUAAAGGCAAAAGCGCGCUUAACUGCGAGACCCACAAGUCGAGCAGGUACGAAAGUAGGUCUUAGUGAUCCGGUGGUUCUGUAUGGAAGGGCCAUCGCUCAACGGAUAAAAGGUACUCUGGGGAUAACAGGCUGAUACCGCCCAAGAGUUCAUAUCGACGGCGGUGUUUGGCACCUCGAUGUCGGCUCAUCUCAUCCUGGGGCUGAAGCAGGUCCCAAGGGUAUGGCUGUUCGCCAUUUAAAGAGGUACGCGAGCUGGGUUUAGAACGUCGUGAGACAGUUCGGUCCCUAUCUACCGUGGGCGUUGGAAAUUUGAGAGGAUCUGCUCCUAGUACGAGAGGACCAGAGUGGACGAACCUCUGGUGUUUCGGUUGUCACGCCAGUGGCAUUGCCGAGUAGCUACGUUCGGAUGGGAUAACCGCUGAAAGCAUCUAAGCGGGAAGCCCACCUCAAGAUGAGAUUUCCCUAAGAGCCGUUGUAGACUACGACGUUGAUAGGUUGGGUGUGGAAGUGUAGUGAUACAUGUAGCUAACCAAUACUAAUUGCUCGUUUGGCUUGACCAU
Molecule: ribosomal RNA, 2858 nt
Filed under: Moraxella nonliquefaciens
Lineage: Bacteria; Pseudomonadati; Pseudomonadota; Gammaproteobacteria; Moraxellales; Moraxellaceae
Description: 23S ribosomal RNA
Rfam family: Bacterial large subunit ribosomal RNA
Source: RNAcentral